Molecule: ribosomal RNA, 253 nt
Filed under: uncultured bacterium
Lineage: Bacteria
Description: partial 16S ribosomal RNA
Rfam family: Bacterial small subunit ribosomal RNA
Source: RNAcentral
UACAGAGGGGGCUAGCGUUGUUCGGAAUUACUGGGCGUAAAGGGCGCGUAGGCGGCCCGCUAAGUCGAACGUGAAAUCCCCGGGCUCAACCCGGGAACUGCGUCCGAUACUGGCAGGCUUGAAUCCGGGAGAGGGAUGUGGAAUUCCAGGUGUAGCGGUGAAAUGCGUAGAUAUCUGGAGGAACACCGGUGGCGAAGGCGGCAUCCUGGACCGAUAUUGACGCUGAUGCGCGAAAGCCAGGGGAGCAAACGGG